This 253-nucleotide ribosomal RNA is filed under the name uncultured bacterium. Its description in RNAcentral is "partial 16S ribosomal RNA". It matches the Rfam family "Bacterial small subunit ribosomal RNA", at positions 524 to 776 of the family's 1533-position model. The record is from RNAcentral.
UACAGGGGGUGCAAACGUUGCUCGGAAUUAUUGGGCGUAAAGAGCUCGUAGGCGGUUUGUCGCGUCUGCCGUGAAAGUCCGGGGCUCAACUCCGGAUCUGCGGUGGGUACGGGCAGACUAGAGUGAUGUAGGGGAGACUGGAAUUCCUGGUGUAGCGGUGAAAUGCGCAGAUAUCAGGAGGAACACCGAUGGCGAAGGCAGGUCUCUGGGCAUUAACUGACGCUGAGGAGCGAAAGCAUGGGGAGCGAACAGG